UACGAAGGGUGCAAGCGUUACUCGGAAUUACUGGGCGUAAAGCGUGCGUAGGUGGUUCGUUAAGUCUGAUGUGAAAGCCCCGGGCUCAACCUGGGAACUGCAUUGGAUACUGGCGAUCUGGAGUGCGGUAGAGGGUGGCGGAAUUCCCGGUGUAGCAGUGAAAUGCGUAGAUAUCGGAAGGAACACCUGUGGCGAAAGCGGCUCACUGGACCAUUACUGACGCUGAGGCACGAAAGCUAGGGGAGCAAACAGG
RNAcentral lists this ribosomal RNA (253 nucleotides) under uncultured bacterium. Its description in RNAcentral is "partial 16S ribosomal RNA". It matches the Rfam family "Bacterial small subunit ribosomal RNA", at positions 524 to 776 of the family's 1533-position model. The record is from RNAcentral.